Molecule: ribosomal RNA, 490 nt
Filed under: uncultured bacterium
Lineage: Bacteria
Description: partial 16S ribosomal RNA
Rfam family: Bacterial small subunit ribosomal RNA
Source: RNAcentral
AUUGAACGCUGGCGGCAGGCCUAACACAUGCAAGUCGAACGGUAACAGGAAGAAGCUUGCUUCUUUGCUGACGAGUGGCGGACGGGUGAGUAAUGUCUGGGAAACUGCCUGAUGGAGGGGGAUAACUACUGGAAACGGUAGCUAAUACCGCAUAACGUCGCAAGACCAAAGAGGGGGACCUUCGGGCCUCUUGCCAUCGGAUGUGCCCAGAUGGGAUUAGCUAGUAGGUGGGGUAACGGCUCACCUAGGCGACGAUCCCUAGCUGGUCUGAGAGGAUGACCAGCCACACUGGAACUGAGACACGGUCCAGACUCCUACGGGAGGCAGCAGUGGGGAAUAUUGCACAAUGGGCGCAAGCCUGAUGCAGCCAUGCCGCGUGUAUGAAGAAGGCCUUCGGGUUGUAAAGUUCUUUCAGCGGGGAGGAAGGGAGUAAAGUUAAUACCUGUGCUCAUUGACGGUACCCGCAGAAGAAGCACCGGCUAACUCCGUG